GCCCUUGUAGUAUAAACUAAUACACUAGUCUUGUAAACUAGAAAUGGGACUUAUAGCCCUUAGGACA
This 67-nucleotide transfer RNA is filed under the name Chlorocebus dryas (dryas monkey). RNAcentral describes it as "tRNA-Thr". It matches the Rfam family "tRNA". Rfam says of the family: Transfer RNA (tRNA) molecules are approximately 80 nucleotides in length. Their secondary structure includes four short double-helical elements and three loops (D, anti-codon, and T loops). Lineage: Eukaryota; Metazoa; Chordata; Mammalia; Primates; Cercopithecidae. The record is from RNAcentral.